UUAUAUUCUUAGUAGAGACGGUGUUUCACCAUGUUAGCCAGGAUGGUCUCAAUCUCCUGACCAUGUGAUCCGCCCACCUCAGUCUCCCACAGUGCUGGGAUUACAGGCGUGAGCCACUGCGCCCGGCCUUAAAUAGUAAUUUCAAAGCAUUUUUUAUGCUUUCAGCAACGGCAGCCUUUAACAGUUGAGCACAUGUAUGAAGACAUCAGUCAGGAUCAUGUGAAGAAAACAGUGACCAUUGAAAAUCACCCUCAUCUGCCACCACCUCCCAUGUGUUCAGUUCACCCAUGCAGGUCUGUAUAUGUAGAGAUAAAUAUAUUUUUUGAUGUGAUUGUAUAUUUCAUGGAUUUAUUACUUGAGAAUCUUUAAACAUAGAACCCUAACAGAAAAAAAUUUUCUUACUAAAAAGUAAAAUUCUCUCUUGUCCUCCUUAGAAAUUUUCUUGUGCUUAAAUAUAUAAGAAAAAGGAAAAAAAAAACUUACCAAUUUGUUUUAAGUUUAAUAUGUUAAGAAUUUUUUUGUUCUCUGUGGGUGUUUAUAGAAUAGAUGGAUCUUUGUGAUUUUACUACACUUUUUAGCUUCCAGAACAGUUUGGAAGAUUCUGUUUUUGACUCAGAAAUAGUCAUCAUUUAGAUAUGGUUUGCUGUGUUGUGACUGCCUUUCUGUGAAUGUAGACUGUGGAGUUAACCUUGUGAUUUUUCUAGGUGACCUAUUUGCUUUCUUUUAUUGAUUAGUGAAGGGAGAUAUAUGGAUGUAUGUUCUUCAGUUGAGAGCUCGUCAGCCUUAGCAAGUCAAGUGCAUUUUAUAAGUUGGGAUUUUCUUUGUAUCAGUGUUUUUUCACAGAGCCAAAUCUGUGAAGCUGAACCUAUAUACAUGAUUAGUUCAGAAUUUUUCUUAAAAAACAGUUACUACAUGCCAAUUUCUUUAGGUUGGUUAUUUCUAAUAGAUAACUUUCCCAGUUGACUGGAAAAUACUGGUAACAUACUAGUAACAAUAUUUUUCAGUGAAACUCAUAUUCUGUUGACUAGUUAGAUGAAACAUUUUGUUUUCUCUUCCCUCUAGUUAAAAACAACCUUUAAUAUUUUCUUCUCAUAUUCUGCAACCUCUUUACUCUCAAACUUUAACUCCGUGGAAGACCUUGCUCAUUUUUUCAGUUUUAUUAUGUCUGAAACUUUGCUAACUAUGAAAAAUAAUUUAGGAGCCAUUAGUUUUAGUGUUGAAUUAUGUAAUCUAAAAAGUUUUCAGUUUUUAGAGUUAUUCUCUUGAUUCCUCUUAUGGUUUAAGGUCUUAGGAUGGUGCUUAUCAAACUGAAGCGUAUCUCUCUGAGGUAUAAACUUUACUCAGUUGGGGGAAAAAUAAUUUAACUGGUAAUUAUGUUAAACAUUUUAAUAAAAUAGAUGACUGUAUUGUGGAAUGGGACAUAAGUAUUUCAAAAAAUCUGAGUGCCUAUAAAAUAAAACUUCAAGGACAUUUUAGACCAUUCCAUGGGCUGCCUCAGAUUGUGCCUUCAAAUCCUCUGGAAUGAUACAUUUACUCUCAUAUUCUAAGUUGACUGUCUCUGUCAUGAAGAUUAUAGUCGUAAAAACUGAAACAGCAUUAUUUAAGCCAAGGUAUGUUGAAAAGACUGUUUCUUUAAAAAUUGUCUUUUUCUUGGUUUCUGUGCCUAGAUACUAACUUUGAUAUCACUCUUUUCUAUAGUACAGGAGAGAGAACAGUUAGCCAUGAAAAGAUGUAUAGAUAGGACAAAAACUUCAUAUAAAUAAAUACCUUUCUUCUUAUAAGCCAAAAAAUUUAUUUUUACAUAGAAUUGGAUAAAUUUUAGAAUACCCAUUAGGACAAAGAAACAAAUACAAACCUCUCAACUCUAACCAAUUAGCUUUUCUUAAACCCUCUCAGUUUUGGCUUAUUCUCAGCUAAAUAAACAGCCCAGAUCACAAGAUUAUAGAUACCUCUUUGCUUUUUUGUCCAACUGAUACCAUGUGUCUUUUUUUUUUUUUUUUUAAUUUGCCUGGCAUGACUCUUUUGUUUCUUAGAGCAAACAGCUAUCAUUCCACAUUUUCUCCUGGAAUGAUUUCCUCUUCUCUGGUUUUCUGCCUUCCUUGUCUCUCCCAAUUAUCAGAACACUAACUAAUGCCAUGGUGUCUGCUGUGACUACCAUAGCUUUUUAAGAUUAUGCCCUCCCCUGGUAAAACUGUUGGCAUGGCAUAACAAUCUAUUAUCUUUUGUGUUUCGGAAGUGGAGGGGAGAUAUUUUAUAAUUUAACUAUUUUAAUAAAUAUUUUAUAGUUAUUGGGGAGUGGUGGGGGAGAUAGUUUAUAAUAUAACUAUUAAAAAUUAAUUCACUGAGAGUAAUAGGGUCGAUUUCUUUACAAAUGAAAAUAUGUUUUUCUUCUUUUGGUCUAAUCGAUCUACAUUAACAAUUUUUUUUUUUUUUUUGGCUUCUAGGCAUGCUGAGGUGAUGAAGAAAAUCAUUGAGACUGUUGCAGAAGGAGGGGGAGAACUUGGAGUUCAUAUGUAUCUUCUUAUUUUCUUGAAAUUUGUACAAGCUGUCAUUCCAACAAUAGAAUAUGACUACACAAGACACUUCACAAUGUAAUGAAGAGAGCAUAAAAUCUAUCCUAAUUAUUGGUUCUGAUUUUUAAAGAAUUAACCCAUAGAUGUGACCAUUGACCAUAUUCAUCAAUAUAUACAGUUUCUCUAAUAAGGGACUUAUAUGUUUAUGCAUUAAAUAAAAAUAUGUUCCACUACCAGCCUUACUUGUUUAAUAAAAAUC
RNAcentral lists this small RNA (2772 nucleotides) under Pan troglodytes (chimpanzee). RNAcentral's name for it is "retained intron". The record is from RNAcentral. Lineage: Eukaryota; Metazoa; Chordata; Mammalia; Primates; Hominidae.